ACUCCUACGGGAGGCAGCAGUGGGGAAUAUUGCACAAUGGGCGCAAGCCUGAUGCAGCCAUGCCGCGUGUGUGAAGAGGCCUUCGGGUUGUAAAGCACUUUCAGUCGUGAGGAAGGUAGUGUAGUUAAUANUGCAUUAUUUGACGUUACGCGACAGAAGAAGCGACCGCUAACUCCGUGCCAGCAGCCGCGGUAAUACGGAGGGUGCGAGCGUUAAUCGGAAUUACUGGGCGUAAAGCGCAUGCAGGUGGCCUGUUAAGUCAGAUGUGAAAGNNCCGGGGGCCUU
RNAcentral lists this ribosomal RNA (285 nucleotides) under uncultured bacterium. Its description in RNAcentral is "partial 16S ribosomal RNA". It matches the Rfam family "Bacterial small subunit ribosomal RNA", at positions 335 to 613 of the family's 1533-position model. The record is from RNAcentral.